GAUGAACGCUGGCGGCGUGCUUAACACAUGCAAGUCGAACGAUGACGACCGAGCUUGCUCGGUCUGAUUAGUGGCGAACGGGUGAGUAACACGUGAGCAACCUGCCCUUCACUCUGGGAUAACCUCGGGAAAUCGGGGCUAAUACCGGAUAUGAGCUCCUGUCGCAUGGCGGGUGUUGGAAAGUUUUUCGGUGAAGGAUGGGCUCGCGGCCUAUCAGUUUGUUGGUGAGGUAGUGGCUCACCAAGGCGAUGACGGGUAGCCGGCCUGAGAGGGCGACCGGCCACACUGGGACUGAGACACGGCCCAGACUCCUACGGGAGGCAGCAGUGGGGAAUAUUGCACAAUGGGCGAAAGCCUGAUGCAGCGACGCCGCGUGAGGGAUGACGGCCUUCGGGUUGUAAACCUCUUUCAGCAGGGAAGAAGCGAAAGUGACGGUACCUGCAGAAGAAGCGCCGGCUAACUACGUG
Molecule: ribosomal RNA, 467 nt
Filed under: uncultured bacterium
Lineage: Bacteria
Description: partial 16S ribosomal RNA
Rfam family: Bacterial small subunit ribosomal RNA
Source: RNAcentral